AUACUUACCUGGACGGGGUCAACGGGCUAUCAAGAAGGCCUGUGGCCUAGAUCAGUGGCCUUCAUUGCACUUUAGAGGGUGCGCUGGUUUACCAUCUCUCAAAGUGGGAGAGUAAACGUCAUAAUUUGUGGUAGCGGGGUAAGCGUCCGCGUGGCCCCUGC
Molecule: non-coding RNA, 161 nt
Organism: Zea mays
Lineage: Eukaryota; Viridiplantae; Streptophyta; Magnoliopsida; Poales; Poaceae
Source: Rfam